CCAUCUUUCAUUUUGGUCAGGUUUCACGAGUGACAGACGGAGAUUACAAAGGAACUUUGCCAAGAAUGGAGGGAACAAAGGGAAGUCCGUGAGAGGAAGCACUGGAGAGGAAACGGCUUGCGAUCCUCUUUAAUUAGAGCGCCAGAGUCUCAGGUGACCCUGAAAUGGAAAACGCUGAAGUGUUACAGAGCUGGUUACCCACAUUUGACUCGUUCACCUUGAACAAGGCUACAGUGUUUCUAUGGUGAAAACACGAGUCUGAUAUUUGUGACUUUGGUAAUGGAAGCCAAUGUCUCUCCACUUCCCUGUGUUAAAGGAAUGAUGAAGAUACAGAAAAUUAGAGUGAAAUUACCCUGGAGGAGCAUUUAUGCUAACAGAAAUUCAAGCAAGUUCCUCUCAAGAAACCUCUUUGAAUCCAGUGAUUUAGACUCAAGAGAUGCCCCCACUUUGAUUUCUAGAGACACAGUGUGAGUGCGGAAGAGAUUUGUUCUCUGAGAACACAGUGUGGGUGUCCUAUCUGCAUGCAUUAAUAAUUUUUAUGCAUGGCAUGUCUGUUGCGAGAGUUCCUGAGUUUUAGUUUCACAUGGAUAUCAAAGCACCCUUUCACCUUAAAGUCAUCCUUUACUGUGAUUAUAUCAUGUUAAUAAGCAUAUACCUUUCAGAAAGCAUCAUUCCUCCAUGUUGGCCAUA
Molecule: long non-coding RNA, 690 nt
Organism: Cyprinus carpio (common carp)
Lineage: Eukaryota; Metazoa; Chordata; Actinopteri; Cypriniformes; Cyprinidae
Source: Ensembl